This 1402-nucleotide ribosomal RNA is filed under the name metagenome. Its description in RNAcentral is "bacterial SSU rRNA". It matches the Rfam family "Bacterial small subunit ribosomal RNA". The record is from RNAcentral.
AGAGUUUGAUCCUGGCUCAGGAUGAACGCUAGCGGUAGGCCUAACACAUGCAAGUCGUGGGGUGACAGGGGUUUCGGCCCGCUGACGACCGGCGCACGGGUGAGUAACACGUAUGCAACCUGCCUUUAACUGGAGCAUAGCUCCGAGAAAUCGGAAUUAAUACUCCAUAAUGUCUAAUUAUCGCAUGAUAUUUAGAUAAAAGCUUCGGCGGUUAAAGAUGGGCAUGCGGGACAUUAGUUAGUUGGUGAGGUAACGGCUCACCAAGACAACGAUGUCUAUGGGGUCUUAAAGGAUGGUCCCACACACUGGUACUGAGACACGGACCAGACUCCUACGGGAGGCAGCAGUGAGGAAUAUUGGGCAAUGGACGAAAGUCUGACCCAGCCAUACCGCGUGCAGGAUGACAGCCCUAUGGGUUGUAAACUGCUUUUGUACGAGAAGAAAAUACCCUACGUGUAGGGAACUGACGGUACCGUACGAAUAAGGAUCGGCUAACUCCGUGCCAGCAGCCGCGGUAAUACGGAGGAUCCAGGCGUUAUCCGGAUUUAUUAGGUUUAAAGGGUGCGUAGGCGGAAAUAUAAGUCAGUGGUGAAAUCCUGCAGCUCAACUGUAGAACUGCCAUUGAUACUGUUUUUCUUGAGUAUAGUUGAGGUGGGCGGAAUGUGUCAUGUAGCGGUGAAAUGCUUAGAUAUGACACAGAACACCAAUUGCGUAGGCAGCUCACUAAACUAUCACUGACGCUGAGGCACGAAAACGUGGGGAGCGAACAGGAUUAGAUACCCUGGUAGUCCACGCCGUAAACGAUGAUUACUCGCUGUGUGCGAUAUACAGUACGCGACUGAACGAAAGUAUUAAGUAAUCCACCUGGGGAGUACGUUGGCAACAAUGAAACUCAAAGGAAUUGACGGGGGCCCGCACAAGCGGAGGAACAUGUGGUUUAAUUCGAUGAUACGCGAGGAACCUUACCUGGGCUUAAAUGCAGAGCGACUAGCGCCGAAAGGUGCUUUCCCUUCGGGGCGAACUGCAAGGUGCUGCAUGGUUGUCGUCAGCUCGUGCCGUAAGGUGUCGGGUUAAGUCCCAUAACGAGCGCAACCCCUAUCGUUAGUUACUAACAGGUAAUGCUGAGGACUCUAGCGAAACUGCCGGUGUAAACCGUGAGGAAGGUGGGGAUGACGUCAAAUCAGCACGGCCCUUACGUCCAGGGCUACACACGUGUUACAAUGGCUGGUACAAUGGGCAGCUACUUGGCAACAAGAUGCUAAUCUCCAAAACCAGUCUCAGUUCGGAUCGAAGUCUGCAACUCGACUUCGUGAAGUUGGAUUCGCUAGUAAUCGUAUAUCAGCAAUGAUACGGUGAAUACGUUCCCGGGCCUUGUACACACCGCCCGUCAAGCCAUGGAAGC